CCUACGUGGUGCAGCAGUGGGGAAUAUUGGACAAUGGGCGAAAGCCUGAUCCAGCCAUGCCGCGUGUGUGAAGAAGGCCUUCGGGUUGUAAAGCACUUUCAGUGGGGAAGAAAGCCUUGGGGCUAAUACCCUCGAGGAAGGACAUCACCCACAGAAGAAGCACCGGCUAACUCCGUGCCAGCAGCCGCGGUAAUACGGAGGGUGCGAGCGUUAAUCGGAAUUACUGGGCGUAAAGCGCGCGUAGGCGGUCUGAUAAGCCGGUUGUGAAAGCCCCGGGCUCAACCUGGGAACGGCAUCCGGAACUGUCAGGCUAGAGUGCAGGAGAGGAAGGUAGAAUUCCCGGUGUAGCGGUGAAAUGCGUAGAGAUCGGGAGGAAUACCAGUGGCGAAGGCGGCCUUCUGGACUGACACUGACGCUGAGGUGCGAAAGCGUGGGUAGCAAACAGGAUUAGAUACCCUUGUAGC
RNAcentral lists this ribosomal RNA (464 nucleotides) under Vreelandella stevensii. RNAcentral describes it as "partial 16S ribosomal RNA". It matches the Rfam family "Bacterial small subunit ribosomal RNA", at positions 338 to 794 of the family's 1533-position model. Lineage: Bacteria; Pseudomonadati; Pseudomonadota; Gammaproteobacteria; Oceanospirillales; Halomonadaceae. The record is from RNAcentral.